RNAcentral lists this ribosomal RNA (757 nucleotides) under uncultured bacterium. Its description in RNAcentral is "bacterial SSU rRNA". It matches the Rfam family "Bacterial small subunit ribosomal RNA", at positions 8 to 796 of the family's 1533-position model. The record is from RNAcentral.
AGAGUUUGAUCAUGGCUCAGAUCAACGCUGGCGGCGCGCUUAACACAUGCAAGUCGCACGAGAAAGCGGGAGCAAUCCCGCAAGUACAGUGGCGUACGGGUGAGUAACACGUGGGUGAUCUACCCUUUAGUGGGGAAUAACGCUGGGAAACCGGCGCUAAUACCGCAUAAGCUCGAGAGAGGAAAGCAGCAAUGCGCUGAAGGAGGAGCCCGCGGCCGAUUAGCUAGUUGGGAGGGUAAAAGCCUACCAAGGCAUAGAUCGGUAGCCGGCCUGAGAGGGCACACGGCCACACUGGCACUGAAACACGGGCCAGACUCCUACGGGAGGCAGCAGUGGGGAAUCUUGCACAAUGGGGGAAACCCUGAUGCAGCGACGCCGCGUGAGCGAUGAAGCCCUUCGGGGUGUAAAGCUCUUUCGUCAGGGACGAUAAUGACGGUACCUGGAGAAGCAGCUGCGGCUAACUACGUGCCAGCAGCCGCGGUAAUACGUAGGCAGCGAGCGUUGUUCGGAGUUACUGGGCGUAAAGGGUGUGUAGGCGGUUUUCUAAGUUUGGUGUGAAAUCUCCCGGCUCAACCGGGAGGGUGCGCCGAAAACUGGGAGACUAGAGUGCGGGAUGGGAGAGUAGAAUUCCUGGUGUAGCGGUGAAAUGCGUAGAUAUCAGGAGGAAUACCGGUGGUGUAGACGGCUCUCUGGACCGCCACUGACGCUGAGACACGAAAGCGUGGGUAGCAAACAGGAUUAGAUACCCUAGUAGUCC